This is a non-coding RNA of Macaca mulatta (Rhesus monkey), 5312 nucleotides long. Lineage: Eukaryota; Metazoa; Chordata; Mammalia; Primates; Cercopithecidae. The record is from RefSeq and is a predicted model, not a curated record.
GGGGCGAGAGAGGCGCGCAGGCGCGGGCCGCCUGGCGGUACUUCGAAGAAAGACUUGGGGACGCACAGAAGCUGCUCGUGGUACUCGAAGUAGGUGAGCAGGUGGCCCCUGUCUCUGUAGUUGGAGCCGGGCGCGAUGUUGUUGGCGUACUUGAUGGCCGUGCUUGCGACCAUGUCGUGCACGGUGAGGAGUGUCUCGUUGCUAACCUAGUCCUUGCUGAGCCGCAGUCGCGCCUCCUCGUCGCGCUCCGUGGUCCAAGUAGCUCAGCCUGCGGACAGGCGGGUCGGCGGCGUCCGGAGACCCCCAGUGGACCUAGAGAGAGGCGAGCAGCACAUCUUGGUUUGGACAGGCCACAUUGUGGCCAGUGGCUGCCAUAUUGGACAGCACUGGUAUAAGAGGGUCCAUCUCUCACUCCCGCAUCAAUGUCCAAUGGUUUCUCAUUCAACUGGAAAGUGAAAUUGGAAAUCUCACGAAAGAUGAAGAAUUAUGAAUGUGGUACGUUGAACUGCUGGGCCCACCCACAAGACAUCGACACAUGAAGGUGCAGAAGGGUUAAACCAGUUAACACUGAACAAAGGACAAUGGAUGUGAUGAGUCACAGGCUGAGUUGUACCCCUCCACAGUUCACGUGUUGAAGUCCUAACCUUUAGUACCUCAGGAUAUAACUUCUUUGGAAACAGGAUCAUUACAGAAGUUAAAAUGAGGUCAUUAGGGUGAGCCCUAAUCUUAUUAACCUGUCCUUAUAAAAGGGAAAUUUGAACACAGAGACACCCACAGGGAAGAUGAUGUGAAGACACAGAGAGAAGACAGCCAUCAGCAAGCCAAGGAGAGAGGUCUGGAAUGGAUCCUCCCCUCACAGCCCUCAGAAGGAACCAAGCCAAUCAGCCUCUCAAUCUCACAGUUUUAGCAUGCAGAUCUGUGAGACAAUACAUUUAUGUUGUUUAAGCCCUCCAGUCUGUGGUACUUUGUUAUGUAGCCCCAGCAAACUAAAACAUGGGUUGGCUGGUGGCAUUAGAACAAUUUGCCCAGGAGAAGGUUACAGGCAGCCUAUAGGACAAUUGAAGAUGCAUUCUACUUUCUGCCUGCAUUGUGCAUCUAGUGAAGAAAACAAACAAAAAAAACUAUCAGUGAUUCAUGGUGUCAUGGAGGCUCCCUCUGCACAUGCCUUGGGGAGAGGAGAGGAGAGGAGAAAUGGUGGGUAGUGGAAGUUCAAGCCUCCAUCCCUUAUUAAUCUGUGUAAUGGGCCAACACACCUAAUUCCUUGGAUUCCUGGCAAGUAGAACUUUCUCCACUAAAGUUUCUGACAAAAGGCCUUCUCCAAAUAAGACCCAAAGAGACAUUUGGGAUUUAUUGCCUCCUACUUUCUAGAAACAAAUAGAAAAGGCGGGAAGCACAGCUCACAUCAUUGGUGGCUAGUUGAAGGAGUUUACAUACCCUACCAUGACCCUGGUAUGAGUUGAAGCCUGCUGCUCAGAACCCACUGCAACUGUGUGUGUCUGUGUCUGUGUGUUCUGCAAUUCCAAUCACAGAUCUGCCUGCCACACAGUGGAGCCCUCUCUUGGACUCUGAAUGCAUAGCCCAGCAAAGCCAAGCAACUGAAUCUCACCAUCAGAACAGGUGACAGCAGCUCCAUCAAAGCUGUCGGUGGUACAUGAGAUCAAUUUGUUUUUUGUAUUUCUGGGCUACAAAAUGUCUCUUAAGUUUCAUCGUUGGACCUAUUGAGAAAGGAGAAAUCAAUUGAGUUACGGAGAUAAAAGAAAAUUCCAUACACCCAUGCAUGACCAGGCAACAGAGUCCCAUGCCUCGGGCUAGGCUGGGUGGCUGGCUGUGCCAUUGACUUUCAGGGUGUGUAACUUUUGCCAUCUGUAUGGGGAUGAUAAAACUUCCAUGUGGUCCUUCAGCUGUGGUGAGGAUUCUGUGAGGUGGAAGGUGAAGAGCACGCUGCAUUCUGUGCCUGAUGUGGACUGUGUACCCAAUGGAGGAGGGAUAUCAUCAUCUCAAACCAUGCCCCAUCCCCAUUUUACAGGUGAGGAAACUGGAACAUAGAGAGGACCAGUUCCUCUGAGGUCAGCCAGCAAGUGCAUGGCAGAAUCAAGACUCAAACUGGGAGUUGUCUGCUCCCUCAGCCCAGGACUUUCGUUGAAAGCCUCUGAGUCACCAGGGGCAUUGAUGACCUCUCUGCGUGUCUCAAGCAACCCCACAAGGACUGUUUUUCAGCUUAUAGUUGAGAAGACCACCAGCCUGGACAACACGGCAAAACACCAUCUCUACAAAACAAAAAGAAAAUAGCCACACGUGGUGGAGCACACUCGUCCCAGCUACUCAGGAAGCUGAGGUGGGAGGAUUGCUUGAGCCUGGGAGUUCAAGGCUGCAGCGGCAAGUCGUGAUCAUGCCAUUGUACUCCAACCUGGGUAACAGAGCGAGACUGUCUCAAAACAAACAAAAAACAAGGCUCAGUAGGACAAGUCACUUCCCUGUGUAGAGGGGACAGGAUUUCAACCCAGGUUGUUCAAUGCCACAUGCUUGCUCUGACUCUUCCAUCCACACCGUCAGAUUACAGCCAAGCACUGACAGCAAACUCCCAAAUGAAAGUACAUUGGUAGAAUCCAGUAUCCCCACUCUGGAGUGAGCCCUUCCCUCAUAGGGAAAGAGAGGCAAAAAUAAGACUCAUACAGAGAAUAAUUUCAUGUUCUGAUGCUUUAAAGAAGACAAGGUGGUAUAAUGGGGGUGACAGUGAGCUACAGGGUGAAAUAUUAAGGACAAUGGCAAGCCACUUAAGCCAGCAUGGUCAGGGAAGGCUGAAACCAUUCCUAAAAACUUUAUAAUAUUAAUCAGAGAAGAAGGGAGGGGGAGAAACUAAAAUCAGCCAUACUUACAACACACUCAACAUUCAUCAUUAGGUCAGUUUGCUCUCUGACCCCUUCCUCAUAGCUAGCUGUCUGCCUAUUGCCCCAGAAUCACACACACAAAAAAAACCCAGUCACAAGAUAUAGUUCCCCUUAACUGUUCUACAGAUAACAUAUUAAGCAUUGUGAAAGGUUAAGUUUUCCAUUUGAGAUAUCUUUUCAAGUCCUGCAUACCAGUGAAACUACUGAUGCCCACUGAUCUGAAGGACCCCACAGGAGCUGAAUUACCAAAGAAUGCAGCUUCCACAUCCAGAUGAUUUCAUCCCCCUUACCCGAACCAAUCAAUGACUCUAAUUUUCCAGCCCUUCACCCCCAAAGAUCCCCUUAAAACCCCAGCCCAGAAUUCCUCAAAGAGAGAUUUGAGGGUUCUUUCCAUCUCAGUUGGCUUCCCUGCAAGGGAAUUUAAUUUCCUUUUUUAUUUUUAUUUUUGUUGUUUGAUUUUUUGUUUUUGAGACAGGGUCUCCAUUGCUUAGGCUGGAGUGCAGUGGCAUGAUUGUGGCUCACUGCAGCCUUGACCUCCCCGGGCUCAAGUGAUCCUCUCAGCCUCCUGAGUAGCUGGGCACAUGCCACCAUAUCCAGCUAAUUUUUGUAUUUUUUUGUAGAAAUAGUAUUUCACCAUGUUGCCCAGGUUGGUCUCAAACUCCUGGGCUCAAGCAGUCUGCCCACCUCAGCCUCCCAAAGUGUUGGGAUUACAUGUGUGAGUCACUGUGCCUGGCCAUAAUUAAACUCUGUCUUUGCUGCAUCCCUUGCUGUCUCAGUGUAUUGGUAUAUUAGUGUGCAGUGGGCAUACAAACCUGGUGGUCCUGUAACAAGGCUGCUCUGAGGAGGAAGAGGCCUGUAGGGUGAGACCUGGACCAUGAGAAGGAGCCAUCCAGGCAAGGAAUUGAGGGGGAAGGGUAUUACCAGGGAGGCAGACUGGCAAGUGCAAAGGCCUUACAGUUGGACAAAGCCCAGAGAGCUGCAGGAACAUCAAGAAAGCCCAUAGAGUUGGUGCAGAGUGAAUGAAAGGUCAGCAGGAGAGAGAUUGUGUAGAGCUAUAGUAAGGAGUUUGGAUUUUAUUUCCAAGAUGAGGAGCUGGGGACCAGUUAGCUAGAGGUGGCAGCAUCCCUCUCCUGGUCCCUGGCUGGUCUCAUAGAUCCUCUGACCUUCAGAAAAGGACCCGUCUCUUCAGAGCCCACACAGUCCCGGAUGCUAACAAGGGACCAGUCUCCAAACGUCAUGGCCACUCACCUAGCUCUCCACCAUAGAUGGAAAAGUCCUUCUCCAAGAUGACCCACUUUUGAAUCUUCUGUGUAUUGUUCAUGGCUUCCUGGUUCACAGCAUUGAUGCCUUGCUGGAUGGCCUUGUAGACCAGGGGGUCUUGCUGCUUCACAAUCUCAGUCACGGUGGAUGCCUGGCUUCCCAGACCCCGGCAGAAGUUGAUGGCCUCCAAGUUCAGCUUGUCCAGAGGUUCUCCGCUCAUCUGAUUCAUCUCACACUGCCCCCGGACACCUCUGUCACCACACAUACUCCUUGACCAGCACCCCUCCCCAGGCCCACAGACCAAGAAGUGGGUCUUGAACCCACAGCUGCAUCCUCUUGACCCUGGGGUGGGGCCAGGGAACGUAAGAGCGGCUGCAGAGACUUCCCCCAAUGACAGAAAACCCAUGUUACCUUCAGCGUCAGCAACAUGCUCAGAAACUUCAGUUUAUCUCCUACUAACAUGGCGUUACUGAUGAUGGGGAUCUUCUUCUUAACCAAGGUCUCAACGGGAAUGGGGGGCACGUUUUCACCACCAGCAGUGAUAAGGAUUUCUGGAACAGAGCUUGACUUGGUACACGUCCAGCCAUGACAACGUGGAACCCCCAACCCCUUGGAGAUCAGAAGGGCAGCUGCUGGCAUGGCCAACACUCACCCAGAAAGCCCCAGAAGCACAGGAGGACCUGGCCCUCUUCCCCCACCCACUUUUAAUUAUCAUCAAGUGUCCAAAGUUGUGACUUCCACUUGGACAGCAUCUUAAUAAUUCAUUUCCUAUCUCCUGGUCCACCAUGCCCUGGUUUUAGGUUCUUCCAAUAUGUCUUCCUUGAAAGAUAGUGAAGCCUUUUUGGCCACACCUUGCCUGUCUGUUGCCUCCUAGUCACUUAGUAACCCCUUCAGAAUGUAAUGUAAUUCCAGUCUUAGCCCCAGGGACAUGUGUAGUAACCCUAAUUUUGGCAAACUCUGCAAGAAUCUCCCUUAGUCUCUCAGAUUCUUCAACAGCGUCUCCUCCUGCCCCAGACCCACUGGUCACUUGUUCUUUCAUCCUAAGAUGCUUCCCUCUUUCUGUCCCACCCACUCAAACUCGUUCUCCCUUGUCCCAGAGACUCACAAAGUCACCUUUACUGUGGUCAUUAAUAGCAGUAAGAAUAAAUAUGACCAUGAAAUGGA